AACACUUUCUCUCACUUUGACUGUCUCUAUGCCUUCACCGUGAACGUUCCUUAUUCAUCUUCUUCCCUUCAUUCAACGUAAAUGCUUUCUCUUUCUGCCGAAACCAUUCUUCCUUGCUUCCUUGUCUUUUCUUCUUUGCGUCCUUGUCUCUUCCUUGUUCCUCCACUGUUUUUUCAAGCUGUUUAUUUCUUAUGUUCUUAAGUUAUCUUUUAUGUUCUUUCAAUCACUGAUUGUUCCUUGUUCCUUCUUCAUCGCAUUUUCUGCGACAUCACAAAUUAGGGUUCCAAAAAAUCACGAGAUUAACUUGCACUUCUAUUGAGUUACGUUCAUCAUUCUUCAUGGACAAAGAUACAUCAACUUCUUUUCAAAUUCCUCAGGAAUAUGAAUGUGUGCCAAAUUGUGAUGAUGAAUUAAAGCCUAAGAUUGGACAAGUAUUUGAUACGUUACAAGAAGGUAAAAAAAUUUACGAAAAA
Medicago truncatula (barrel medic) is the source of this 473-nucleotide long non-coding RNA. RefSeq lists it as uncharacterized. The transcript has 2 exons. The record is from RefSeq and is a predicted model, not a curated record. Lineage: Eukaryota; Viridiplantae; Streptophyta; Magnoliopsida; Fabales; Fabaceae.